UGCAGCCUACGGGGGGCAGCAGUAGGGAAUAUUGCUCAAUGGGGGAAACCCUGAAGCAGCAACGCCGCGUGGAGGAUGAAGGUUUUCGGAUUGUAAACUCCUUUUGUUAGAGAAGAUAAUGACGGUAUCUAACGAAUAAGCACCGGCUAACUCCGUGCCAGCAGCCGCGGUAAUACGGAGGGGGCAAGCGUUACUCGGAAUCACUGGGCGUAAAGAGCGCGAAGGCGGGAUAGCAAGGCAGAUGUGAAAUCCUAUGGCUUAACCAUAGAACUGCAUUUGAAACUGGUAUUAU
RNAcentral lists this ribosomal RNA (292 nucleotides) under uncultured bacterium. RNAcentral's name for it is "partial 16S ribosomal RNA". It matches the Rfam family "Bacterial small subunit ribosomal RNA", at positions 333 to 642 of the family's 1533-position model. The record is from RNAcentral.